This 482-nucleotide ribosomal RNA is filed under the name uncultured bacterium. Its description in RNAcentral is "bacterial SSU rRNA". It matches the Rfam family "Bacterial small subunit ribosomal RNA", at positions 30 to 506 of the family's 1533-position model. The record is from RNAcentral.
UUGAACGCUGGCGGCAUGCUUUACACAUGCAAGUCGAACGGCAGCACGGAGCUUGCUCUGGUGGCGAGUGGCGAACGGGUGAGUAAUAUAUCGGAACGUACCCAAGAGUGGGGGAUAACGUAGCGAAAGUUACGCUAAUACCGCAUACGAUCUAAGGAUGAAAGCAGGGGACCGCAAGGCCUUGUGCUCCUGGAGCGGCCGAUAUCUGAUUAGCUAGUUGGUAGGGUAAAGGCCUACCAAGGCAUCGAUCAGUAGCUGGUCUGAGAGGACGACCAGCCACACUGGAACUGAGACACGGUCCAGACUCCUACGGGAGGCAGCAGUGGGGAAUUUUGGACAAUGGGCGCAAGCCUGAUCCAGCAAUGCCGCGUGAGUGAAGAAGUCCUUCGGGUUGUAAAGCUCUUUUGUCAGGGAAGAAACGGGUGAGGCUAAUAUCCUCAUCUAAUGACGGUACCUGAAGAAUAAGCACCGGCUAACUACGU